CUGCGGUGAAUACGUUCCCGGGCCUUGUACACACCGCCCGUCACACCAUGGAAGUGGGGGAUACUAGAAGCGGGUAGCUUAACCUUCGGGAAGGCGCCCUCCAAGGUAUGUUUCAUGACUGGGGUGAAGUCGUAACAAGGUAGCCGUAGGAGAACCUGCGGCUGGAUUACCUCCUUA
Molecule: ribosomal RNA, 177 nt
Filed under: Betaproteobacteria bacterium
Lineage: Bacteria; Pseudomonadati; Pseudomonadota; Betaproteobacteria
Description: partial 16S ribosomal RNA
Rfam family: Bacterial small subunit ribosomal RNA
Source: RNAcentral